GAUGAAGAACGUAGCGAAAUGCGAUAAGUAGUGUGAAUUGCAGAAUUCAGUGAAUCAUCGAAUCUUUGAACGCACAUUGCGCCCUUUGGUAUUCCAAAGGGCAUGCCUGUUCGAGCGUCAUUUGUACCCUCAAGCUUUGCUUGGUGUUGGGCGUCUUGUCUCCAGUUCGCUGGAGACUCGCCUUAAAGUAAUUGGCAGCCGGCCUACUGGUUUCGGAGCGCAGCACAAGUCGCGCUCUCUUCCAGCCAAGGUCAGCAUCCACAAAGCCUUUUUUCAACUUUUGACCUCGGAUCAGGUAGGGAUACCCGCUGAACUUAAGCAUAUCAAAAGCGGAGGA
Molecule: unclassified non-coding RNA, 337 nt
Filed under: soil metagenome
Description: partial contains 5.8S ribosomal RNA, internal transcribed spacer 2, and large subunit ribosomal RNA
Rfam family: 5.8S ribosomal RNA (bases 1-120)
Source: RNAcentral